This 1365-nucleotide ribosomal RNA is filed under the name Salmonella enterica subsp. enterica serovar Agona. RNAcentral describes it as "partial 23S ribosomal RNA". It matches the Rfam family "Bacterial large subunit ribosomal RNA", at positions 161 to 1566 of the family's 2925-position model. The record is from RNAcentral. Lineage: Bacteria; Pseudomonadati; Pseudomonadota; Gammaproteobacteria; Enterobacterales; Enterobacteriaceae.
AAUCCAUAGGUUAAUGAGGCGAACCGGGGGAACUGAAACAUCUAAGUACCCCGAGGAAAAGAAAUCAACCGAGAUUCCCCCAGUAGCGGCGAGCGAACGGGGAGGAGCCCAGAGCCUGAAUCAGCAUGUGUGUUAGUGGAAGCGUCUGGAAAGGCGCGCGAUACAGGGUGACAGCCCCGUACACAAAAGCGCAUGUGCUGUGAGCUCGAUGAGUAGGGCGGGACACGUGGUAUCCUGUCUGAAUAUGGGGGGACCAUCCUCCAAGGCUAAAUACUCCUGACUGACCGAUAGUGAACCAGUACCGUGAGGGAAAGGCGAAAAGAACCCCGGCGAGGGGAGUGAAAAAGAACCUGAAACCGUGUACGUACAAGCAGUGGGAGCACCCUUUGGGGUGUGACUGCGUACCUUUUGUAUAAUGGGUCAGCGACUUAUAUUCUGUAGCAAGGUUAACCGAAUAGGGGAGCCGGAGGGAAACCGAGUCUUAAUUGGGCGUUAAGUUGCAGGGUAUAGACCCGAAACCCGGUGAUCUAGCCAUGGGCAGGUUGAAGGUUGGGUAACACUAACUGGAGGACCGAACCGACUAAUGUUGAAAAAUUAGCGGAUGACCUGUGGCUGGGGGUGAAAGGCCAAUCAAACCGGGAGAUAGCUGGUUCUCCCCGAAAGCUAUUUAGGUAGCGCCUCGUGAAUUCAUCUCCGGGGGUAGAGCACUGUUUCGGCUAGGGGGCCAUCCCGGCUUACCAACCCGAUGCAAACUGCGAAUACCGGAGAAUGUUAUCACGGGAGACACACGGCGGGUGCUAACGUCCGUCGUGAAGAGGGAAACAACCCAGACCGCCAGCUAAGGUCCCAAAGUCAUGGUUAAGUGGGAAACGAUGUGGGAAGGCCCAGACAGCCAGGAUGUUGGCUUAGAAGCAGCCAUCAUUUAAAGAAAGCGUAAUAGCUCACUGGUCGAGUCGGCCUGCGCGGAAGAUGUAACGGGGCUAAACCAUGCACCGAAGCUGCGGCAGCGACACUCAGGUGUUGUUGGGUAGGGGAGCGUUCUGUAAGCCUGCGAAGGUGGCCUGUGAGGGUUGCUGGAGGUAUCAGAAGUGCGAAUGCUGACAUAAGUAACGAUAAAGCGGGUGAAAAGCCCGCUCGCCGGAAGACCAAGGGUUCCUGUCCAACGUUAAUCGGGGCAGGGUGAGUCGACCCCUAAGGCGAGGCCGAAAGGCGUAGUCGAUGGGAAACGGGUUAAUAUUCCCGUACUUGGUGUUACUGCGAAGGGGGGACGGAGAAGGCUAUGUUGGCCGGGCGACGGUUGUCCCGGUUUAAGCGUGUAGGUGUGUGUUCCAGGUAAAUCCGGUUCACUUUAACACUGAGGCGUGA